UUGUCUCAGAAUGAGCAGCCUCCUGCUGCUGCCAGUCCUGAACUCAUCCUCAGUCCAUGAAGCAAUAGGGGGGGGAAGAUGGCAUGGAGCUUGCUGCUUCUCUGUUCAAGGGCCAGGUUUUAAACAGGCAGCAACUAUCCAGAAGUGGGAAUGGGACUGGCCACAUGUUGGACAGAGGGCAUUCGAAGUGACAGCAACAAAAGAGAAACCUUUCAUUUCAUCCUUCCUAUGAGGCGGUGAGAGAACUGAAUAGUAAACAGUAUAAGCUGGUUGUAGUCAAGAUUUGACCAACUGUAUCAGCCAAGCAAGAACUCAAAACAAGAAUGAACUUUGUCAAUUUUUCUGAGAUAGCAGCUUCCUUAUUUAAGAACAUUUUUGCUUCUAAACACAAACAGCAAAAGUGUGUCAAUUCAGAUAGCUUCCUACAGUGGAUCUCUCUCAACAUUUAAGAGUUAUAUAAAUACCCAAUUCAUGUAAGGAGCUACAGCAUUAUAUAGGCUUCAAUCUUAAA
Long non-coding RNA from Mauremys reevesii (Reeves's turtle), 511 nucleotides. RefSeq lists it as uncharacterized. The record is from RefSeq and is a predicted model, not a curated record. Lineage: Eukaryota; Metazoa; Chordata; Testudines; Geoemydidae. The transcript is spliced from 2 exons.